This 253-nucleotide ribosomal RNA is filed under the name uncultured bacterium. RNAcentral's name for it is "partial 16S ribosomal RNA". It matches the Rfam family "Bacterial small subunit ribosomal RNA", at positions 524 to 776 of the family's 1533-position model. The record is from RNAcentral.
UACGAAGGGGGCUAGCGUUGUUCGGAAUUACUGGGCGUAAAGGGCGCGUAGGCGGUGUGUCAAGUCAGGCGUGAAAGCCCCGGGCUCAACCUGGGAACCGCGCUUGAGACUGGCACGCUCGAGUUCGGGAGAGGAUAGUGGAAUUCCCAGUGUAGUGGUGAAAUACGUAGAGAUUGGGAAGAACACCAGUGGCGAAGGCGGCUAUCUGGACGGUUUCUGACGCUAAGACGCGAAAGCGUGGGGAGCAAACAGG